Molecule: long non-coding RNA, 1166 nt
Organism: Anolis carolinensis (green anole)
Lineage: Eukaryota; Metazoa; Chordata; Lepidosauria; Squamata; Anolidae
Exons: 3
Source: RefSeq, a predicted model, not a curated record
CUAGUGCGGAACAUUUGGAGCCUUUUGCAACUUUUCUGGCUCCCAUUUCCUCUCCGAAAAGGCGACGCGGUCGCAACUCGCCGCUCCAGGCACAGCAAGGCAGGUCAUUUCCAACGUAGGGUCAUCUCAUCAUAGAGGUUUCCUGACAGAGGAAGUUUGCUUUUGCCUCCUCGAAGGCUGUGGGUGCAUCCACACUGUAGAAUUAAUGAUACCUCAACUUCUAUGGCUCAAUGCUGGUGAACCUUUGGAGUUGUAAAACAGCAGCUUGCUGCAGACUGGGGUCUACAAACUGAUGGACCAGCACUCGUUUAUAAUAUGUGGAAGCCCCUGAUGGCGCAGUAGGUUAAACCCUUGGACUGGCAGGACUGAGGACUUGAAGGUUGGGUUGCUGACCUGAAGGUUGCUGGCUCAAAUCCAACCUGGAGUGUUGCGGAGAGUGCGGAUGAGCUCCCUUUACCAGCUUCAACUCUAGAUCCAUACGGGGACAUGAGAGAUGCCUCCUACAUGGAUAGUAAAAUCAUCAAAACAUCUGAGUGUCCCCUGGGCAUCGUCCUUGCAGACAGCCAAUUCUCACACAUCAGAAGUGACUUGCAGUUUCUCAAGUCAGUUCUGACAUGAAAAAAUCUAAUUUCAAGGAUUUUUACCUAAUCAAAAACCUGUACCGUUUUCAGACUGCUUUAUGUUGUAUUUAUCUGUUUUGUAAGAGACCUAUGUCUCACAUUGGUGUCAGAGGACAGUGUGAUAUCAAACUGAUUAUUAACAGUUUAUUUUCAUUUUAACAAACAGAAGAAUGUUGACCAGACUUUAAUUCAAAGUCUACAAUCUUAAAUAUAUCAGGGUAUUAUCUACUCUGAACCACAAAAUAUAUACAGAAUUUGACAUUUAUUUCACAAUUGACUUGAUUCCACUUACGAUAUAUUCACAUUGAAUGUGUUCAGCUGGAUUUGCUAUCUGAAUAUAAUUAUAAGGCAUAUAAAAAUAUGGAGUUGAAAUAUGUGUGCAUAUUAAGUAAGUGUUUAAAAAACAUCACAAUAUUUUCUCAAAUUUAUUUAUUUAUUUAAUACAUUUAUAUCCCGCCCUUCUCACCCCGAAGGGGACUCAGAGCAGCUUACAAAUUAUAUUUACAUACAAUAUUAUAUUAUAUUAUAUUAUUAGCACAGCACAGU